This 498-nucleotide ribosomal RNA is filed under the name uncultured bacterium. RNAcentral describes it as "partial 16S ribosomal RNA". It matches the Rfam family "Bacterial small subunit ribosomal RNA", at positions 30 to 523 of the family's 1533-position model. The record is from RNAcentral.
AUUGAACGCUGGCGGCAUGCCUUACACAUGCAAGUCGAACGGUAACAGGUCUUCGGAUGCUGACGAGUGGCGAACGGGUGAGUAAUACAUCGGAACGUGCCUAGUAGUGGGGGAUAACUACUCGAAAGAGUGGCUAAUACCGCAUGAGAUCUACGGAUGAAAGCAGGGGAUCGCAAGACCUUGUGCUACUAGAGCGGCCGAUGGCAGAUUAGGUAGUUGGUGGGAUAAAAGCGUACCAAGCCGACGAUCUGUAGCUGGUCUGAGAGGACGAUCAGCCACACUGGGACUGGGACACGGCCCAGACUCCUACGGGAGGCAGCAGUGGGGAAUUUUGGACAAUGGGCGCAAGCCUGAUCCAGCAAUGCCGCGUGCAGGAUGAAGGCCUUCGGGUUGUAAACUGCUUUUGUACGGAACGAAAAGCCCUGGGUUAAUACCCUGGGGUCAUGACGGUACCGUAAGAAUAAGCACCGGCUAACUACGUGCCAGCAGCCGCGGUAA